Molecule: small nuclear RNA, 138 nt
Filed under: Nicotiana attenuata
Lineage: Eukaryota; Viridiplantae; Streptophyta; Magnoliopsida; Solanales; Solanaceae
Description: U4 spliceosomal RNA
Rfam family: U4 spliceosomal RNA
About the family: U4 small nuclear RNA (U4 snRNA) is a component of the major U2-dependent spliceosome.
Source: Rfam by way of RNAcentral
AUCUUUGCGCUUGGGGCAAUGACGCAGCUAGUGAGGUUCUAACCGAGGCGCGUCUAUUGCUGGUUCAAAAAGAAAAUUGUAAUGGAUUAAUAAAAAAAUAGAAAUAAAAAAUAAAAUAUUUGUGAAACUCUAUGAUGA